Molecule: ribosomal RNA, 377 nt
Filed under: uncultured bacterium
Lineage: Bacteria
Description: bacterial SSU rRNA
Rfam family: Bacterial small subunit ribosomal RNA
Source: RNAcentral
AGACGUAGGGGGCGAGCGUUGUCCGGAAUUACUGGGCGUAAAGAGCACGUAGGCGGGAACUUAAGUCAGGUGUGAAAGACCGGGGCUCAACUCCGGGGUGGCACUUGAAACUGGGUUUCUUGAGGGCAGGAGAGGAAAGCAGAAUUCCUGGUGUAGCGGUGAAAUGCGUAGAAAUCAGGAGGAAUACCAGUGGCGAAGGCGGCUUUCUGGACUGACCCUGACGCUGAGGCGCGAAAGCGUGGGUAGCAAACAGGAUUAGAUACCCUGGUAGUCCACGCUGUAAACGAUGGAUACUAGGUGUAGGAGGUAUCGACCCCUUCUGUGCCGCAGCUAACGCAAUAAGUAUCCCGCCUGGGGAGUACGAUCGCAAGGUUGAA